This 1462-nucleotide ribosomal RNA is filed under the name human gut metagenome. Its description in RNAcentral is "bacterial LSU rRNA". It matches the Rfam family "Bacterial large subunit ribosomal RNA", at positions 1143 to 2641 of the family's 2925-position model. The record is from RNAcentral.
CCCCCCUCGAGGUCCGCCGAAAAUGUCCGGGGCUGAAACACGACACCGAAGCACAGGAUACCGCAAGGUAUGGUAGAGGAGCAUUGCUGGCGCGAUGAAGCAGUACCGGAAGGAGCUGUGGAGUGCCAGGAAGAGAGAAUGCCGGAAUGAGUAGCGAGAGAGAGGUGGGAAUCCUCUCGGCCGAAUAUCCAAGGUUUCCAGGGUAAAGCUGAUCUGCCCUGGGUAAGUCGGGGCCUAAGGAGAGGCAGAAAUGCGUAUCCGAUGGACAGCAGGUUGAGAUUCCUGCACUAUCUUAAAACAGAACUGUGGGGACAUUUGUGGAGAGCACAGGCGCGGAACGGAAAGCCGCGUGCAAGCGAAGGAGGAGUCACAUAGGAAAAACCGUGUGGCAAUCCAAAGGCGUGAUGCGGACCGAACUAAAGUAGGGAAGUGUGUGAGCCAUGAAUCAAGAAAAGCCGCUAUUGUUUUUAAGAUCCGUACCGUAAACCGACACAGGUGGAUGAGGAGAGAAUCCUAAGGCCGGCGGAAGAAGCAUUGUUAAGGAACUCGGCAAAAUGACCCCGUAACUUCGGGAGAAGGGGUGCCAACGAGAGUUGGCCGCAGAGAAUAGGCUCAAGCAACUGUUUAGCAAAAACACAGGUCUAUGCAAAACCGAAAGGUGAGGUAUAUGGGCUGACGCCUGCCCGGUGCUGGAAGGUUAAGAGGAGAGGUUAGCGCAAGCGAAGCUUUGAAUUUAAGCCCCAGUAAACGGCGGCCGUAACUAUAACGGUCCUAAGGUAGCGAAAUUCCUUGUCGGGUAAGUUCCGACCCGCACGAAAGGCGUAAUGAUUUGGGCACUGUCUCAACGAUACACCCGGUGAAAUUGAAAUACCAGUGAAGAUGCUGGUUACCUGCGCCAGGACGGAAAGACCCCAUGGAGCUUUACUCCAGUUUGAUACUGGGAUUCGGCAUGGUAUGUACAGGAUAGGUGGGAGACUGAGAAGGUAUGACGUCAGUUGUACCGGAGUCGCUGUUGGGAUACCACCCUUACCAUGUUGGAUUUCUAACCUGUGGCCGUAAGCCGGUCAGGGGACAAUGUCAGGCGGGGAGUUUGACUGGGGCGGUCGCCUCCGAAAGGGUAUCGGAGGCGCUCAAAGGUUCCCUCAGAAUGGUCGGAAACCAUUCGAAGAGUGCAAAGGCAGAAGGGAGCUUGACUGCGACACCGACGGGUGGAGCAGGUACGAAAGUAGGACUUAGUGAUCCGGUGGUAUUAAGUGGGAAUGCCAUCGCUCAACGGAUAAAAGCUACCCUGGGGAUAACAGGCUUAUCACUCCCAAGAGUUCACAUCGACGGAGUGGUUUGGCACCUCGAUGUCGGCUCAUCGCAUCCUGGGGCUGUAGUAGGUCCCAAGGGUUGGGCUGUUCGCCCAUUAAAGCGGUACGCGAGCUGGGUUCAGAACGUCGUGAGACAGUUCGGUCCCUAU